Myotis lucifugus (little brown bat) is the source of this 77-nucleotide non-coding RNA. Lineage: Eukaryota; Metazoa; Chordata; Mammalia; Chiroptera; Vespertilionidae. The record is from Rfam.
GGUGGUUCUUGGGUGAUGCACCCAAGAAUAGGGCUCCCUCCUCUCUGGUUCUGGAGUGCAUCACCCAGGCAACUGCU